RNAcentral lists this long non-coding RNA (4798 nucleotides) under Brassica rapa (field mustard). Its description in RNAcentral is "long non-coding RNA (BRAP_LNC000025)". The record is from RNAcentral. Lineage: Eukaryota; Viridiplantae; Streptophyta; Magnoliopsida; Brassicales; Brassicaceae.
UGCAAACACGAAUAUAAAUAGGAUUUUAUUUAACAAAUCUCGAAUCGAAAUUAUUAGAUACUAGGCGCGCUGGUCUGAAUAACGUAACUGGAAUAGCACAUGAAGUCCAAGCAUUAUUUGUAACGUUUAAUUAUGAAAUAGCUUCAAAUUUGAAGUGUUGAUAUUUUCCAAGAUCUGAAUGCCAACAAAGUAUAUUAGAAUGAUAUUUAUCGCGAUAUCGUAUGCCGUAUGAGUCGUAUUUUUUUUUUUUCAAAUUGAAAUUCAUUCAUAAUCGAUUUACCGAUAUUUAUACACAAGUUGGCAGUAAAACAAAAUAAUCCCAAAACUAAAAGUUCAUAAGAAAUGGCAGCUAAAACUCACAUUGAAGCGACUAAAGCCAAUAUUAGGGUGACUUAAGAACAAACAUAAACCAUAAAAACUAAAUCAACACUUAGCCAUAUGAGUCGUACUAUCGCCUCACUUUAUUUAUUUUAGCUUAUUUGGUUUACCUUUUUUAGCUACUUUUUAUACAAAACCAAAAACGAAGAAUGCUUCGGGUCGAAGUAGCUCAUAAAGAACCCUUUAUAUAUUAUUCGAUAUACCAAGGUUAGUGAUCCAUCAUACAUCACUGUGCGAUACAGAUAGUAGACUAUCGUUAUUAUAUUAAUUGCAUCAUUCUAGAUUCACAAAAGAUCAGUUUAUUACAGAUACUAGGGUUUGGCCCGCCCUACGGGCGGGUUAGUAACUGAACGAAAUAUAUAAUAUAUCAUAAAUUUUAUCGAAUAUUUCAAAGUGUUUAGUUUAUUUUAAAUUGUAAGUAAUAUUUAUUUCUUUAAAUUAUAAUACAAAUAUUAUAACUAUAAGUCCUUCAAAUUUUUAAUAUUACAAUUAUACAAUAGUAUAUAUUAUAUAUUUUUGAUAAACUCUGAUAUUUUGGUUGAAAUGCUGCUUGAUAUUUUGAAAAGAUGUAAGUAGAAUCCAUUGAUCAAAUUGUAUUAAAAAGUUUUUGAUCAUUAGACAGAGGGUAAGAAACAAAAUCAGAACUUCUGAUGAGAUAUGUUUAAGGAUUCAGACCUGCAAUAGCGAGAGAUCCAAGCUUUGUGGUAGGCCAUUGAUGUCGGAGUUGUCAAGCUUCGUGUCGAAUCUUGGAAGACAGUUAAGAGUCACAAUCAAACCGGGUGUUAACACUUCGUCGGUGCGAGUAUUCUUGGUGGAGCACCCUUCCUCUACAGUUAAAUCUUCCUCUCCAUUGUAGCCAGCAGAAACAGGUGGCUCUAUUGGAUCAUUGGCGGACCUGUUUGUCCUUCAGCCAUCACAGUAGCACUGUAACCGCUUUUGUCCAGGCCAUUCAUGAGCAGGUGUUGUUCUUUUCAAGGCCAGCUGAGAGAAAAUAAGUUGUAGAAAAUCUUAUUAUACAAUGAUCAAGAACUAUAUACAUACUUGUUGUGAGCUAAAAAAGAUGGAUAAACCAUUGAGCAGAUAAUUGUAGGUAUAAAGCUUUAUAUACUUUUCUCCUUUCAAUAUUUCUCAAGAAAGAAUAAUGAGUUUAAUCAAUAGAUAGUGGUCGCUUUGACCUCCCCCCUCCCAUGACGUUUCCUGGAAUCGGUUUAACUAAAAUGAAGCAAUACAUAAGGGUUUAACUAAAGCUACCAAGAGAAUCUAGUGAAACAUAAAAAGAAAUAGUUUUUCAGUACCAUGGUUGUAAUUUUGGUUUGAAUUUAGAAGUGUGGCUUGCCCAUGCUUAGCUCUCUGGUGUCUAUGUGUAACUUGUUUAAGCUCUUAUCCUCAAAUAGAUGAACAAACAGAGGUUGUUUAAGUAAAAUAAUGUAGACAGCAGUAUCAUCAUCGUCACCAUAAGAGUCUAGGCUUUCACCUCCAAGGCUCCAACUAACUUUGGAUUGACAGUGGUAGAUAAUAACACCUUAGGUUCUACACCAGAGGCUAUCAACAUUUCAUCCAAGAGCUUCGCAAUCGCAAGGCCGUCCAAUACACUCGCAGACGAUUGUUUCACUGGAAAGUGAUAAAGUUAGAGCAGUGUGUAUGCUCAAGUUUGAAAAAAUAGAAACCUUGACACAAUUAAAGCAAGAGACUUCUCAUACUUCUCAAUCAUUAUGGUAACUGUGAUGCGUUGAAUACUUUGUGUCUCCUUGUUGAAAAUUGUUCUAAUACCCUUAACUUCCCCAACAACAUCUGCUUACAAAAACAAAAAUGAAUACAAACUUUACUACAAUACUUCUAUGGGAUUAUAAGGCUAACUAACCUGGCAGAUCAUUGUCCAUAUUGGCUAGCACCGUGAGUUAUUCUUAAUUGUGGAACCGGAAACUCUCAGGCGGAACAGGUUCAGCUGUUUCUGAAUCUUCAAGAAGACGGUUUGGUCUGUGAAUCUAAUAGCAACUGAGGCAUCACCAAACUUGAAGCUCGGGCUGUUUCUUGCAACAUCAAAAACAUUGAGUUCAUAAGCCGAUUCUUCUUUCAGGAGAUGUUAACAUCAAUAGCUCAAAACAUUAAAGUAAUAACUGGAAUAAUGAACUGGCUUAACUCCCCCCCCCCAUCAAUGAGCAGCAUAUCAACAGCCAUACGCUCGCCCCCUUUCUUCACAUUCUAAGCCUCACAAAAUCGAAGCAGCCUUGUCUCAACAACUUGUCUACAUCAGCCUGCUUUCAACUCUGAGAAAGGAAUUUGAGAAGUCAUGAUGUUCGAAGGGUUUCUGUGUGGUAGGACACAAAAUCUGAUUUCGGCAAAGUUAAAAAGACAAAUCAUGGUCUCUCAAGAGCAAUAUAUAUAUACGGAAUAUAAAUGCUGAAGGUUUUAAAAAGUGGAGUUAGUGGGUUUAGUGGUAAUCUUUAAUGCUUGGCAUAACUACGAAGCAAAACGUAACUUGGAACGAUGAAGUGGAAUCUUUGACGUUACGGUUUCACCAUGGACGACGAUAGUGAGAAGGAGGUGAGAGCUAAAUAGGGAAGAUAUCAAAACUAUACUGGAUAAAGAAAAUGAAACUUUUAAAAACUUAAGAGAGAUGAAUAUUUUACAGGCCUACACGGAGCACUGACCCUGGAAAAAAACACGACAAAAGCUCAAACUUAAGAAAUCGGUUUAGUCAAGUGUUUUUAAAGUGACACGUGUUGAGAUUGAUGAUAAUAACUGGAAUAAUGAACUGGCUUAACUCCCCCCCCCCAUCAAUGAGCAGCAUAUCAACAGCCAUACGCUCGCCCCCUUUCUUCACAUUCUAAGCCUCACAAAAUCGAAGCAGCCUUGUCUCAACAACUUGUCUACAUCAGCCUGCUUUCAACUCUGAGAAAGGAAUUUGAGAAGUCAUGAUGUUCGAAGGGUUUCUGUGUGGUAGGACACAAAAUCUGAUUUCGGCAAAGUUAAAAAGACAAAUCAUGGUCUCUCAAGAGCAAUAUAUAUAUACGGAAUAUAAAUGCUGAAGGUUUUAAAAAGUGGAGUUAGUGGGUUUAGUGGUAAUCUUUAAUGCUUGGCAUAACUACGAAGCAAAACGUAACUUGGAACGAUGAAGUGGAAUCUUUGACGUUACGGUUUCACCAUGGACGACGAUAGUGAGAAGGAGGUGAGAGCUAAAUAGGGAAGAUAUCAAAACUAUACUGGAUAAAGAAAAUGAAACUUUUAAAAACUUAAGAGAGAUGAAUAUUUUACAGGCCUACACGGAGCACUGACCCUGGAAAAAAACACGACAAAAGCUCAAACUUAAGAAAUCGGUUUAGUCAAGUGUUUUUAAAGUGACACGUGUUGAGAUUGAUGAUGACAUGUCACUUUUAUUGGCUAUGAAUAUUUUAUCAUAGGUGGAUAGCUUUAGAAAGCUUCAAUUUAGUACCUUUUAUAUAGUAGGAUAUAGUUGUUGCACGUUGAUGCAUCACUAAUAUCAGCCUAUUACCAGAAGUAUGGACUUCGUUUAGCGAUUCCAAAUCGCGUUUCGAAUACUUAACUAUAGGCAGGGUUUGAGUCUUUCUAUUAGAAAACAGAUCGUAGCUACAAUCUUUUUUUACUGAAGUAAAUACAAUCUUUAUUAGAUUUUUAAAUGACUGGUUAUAUUUUCGUGGUAUCAAAUAAAAUUAUAUAAGGCAAAACAUUUUACAAAAUCUACAGCGCAUGAGACUUGAAUAAAAAAUAACAUCGCACUAGCUAUCGACAAAAAGCAUCUCAUGUAGCUAAGAAUUUUACAACCACUGCUAAACAAAUCGUCCACUUACGAAAUAGAUUAUACAUAAUUUGAGAAUAAAGCUGACAAUGACAUUGUCGAAUGUCGUCAUUGGCCAAAGCUAACGUUCAUAUAAUUAAUGAACAAUUUACGUUUUUGUUAUAAACCAUAAACUUUUGUAAGUGCUAGGAAUAAGAGUAAAUUGGUUAUAAAAAAAGGAAAAAGCGAAGAGAAGAGUGUGAGCUCUACUAGAGAUUGAUGUUAUCGUUCGGUGCUCAACGACAACGAUAAAUCUCGUUCAAAGAUGCAUGGAAGUGUCAGGAAAUUGCAAGUUUGGGGUGUUAUUAUCAGAUUGGGUUUUAUAACCUUUCUUGGGGAAUUUCUAGUUUCAUCUUUGUUUUAUUUUAUGUCAUCUUUGUGUCGGUUCAAGUCGUCCCUGUCUAAGUUCUAGCUGCCGCUUUCAUGUAAGCUUCUAUGUUUGGAGAAUGUUCGAUUUCUUCCGUUAGCUCUUGUAUUGAAACUAUUUUGCUCCUUUGGAAAAAUUCCAUUUGUUGGGAAAAAAAAAUCAGCGUGAGCUCGAAAAGCCCAAUGUUGUGAGCAGUUCUUGUUUGGUUACCUGUCAUCGUACGUCCUCCCAAGUAUAUCUACAAUUUUCUUCUAAUA